RNAcentral lists this transfer RNA (73 nucleotides) under Danionella translucida. It matches the Rfam family "tRNA". Rfam says of the family: Transfer RNA (tRNA) molecules are approximately 80 nucleotides in length. Their secondary structure includes four short double-helical elements and three loops (D, anti-codon, and T loops). The record is from Rfam by way of RNAcentral. RNAcentral also lists the same sequence under 1 other name. Lineage: Eukaryota; Metazoa; Chordata; Actinopteri; Cypriniformes; Danionidae.
GUUUCCGUAGUGUAGUGGUUAUCACGUUUGCCUAACAUGCAAAAGGUCCUCAGUACGAAACUGGGCGGAAACA